Long non-coding RNA from Perca flavescens (yellow perch), 367 nucleotides. RefSeq lists it as uncharacterized. NCBI's taxonomy places the organism in Eukaryota, Metazoa, Chordata, Actinopteri, Perciformes, Percidae. The record is from RefSeq and is a predicted model, not a curated record. The transcript has 3 exons.
AGUGUGCCGCCGCGCGGGACCCGGGUGCGGACUACAGUGAAUUCAUGUCCGCGUGCCGGUGCACGCAGCGUUUGUUCGGUAUCGACGCUGGUUAUUGAUAAACAAUCAUUCGCCUAUUCGAUGCCCGGGCUCGUAUCGGGGCCUCUGCGGGUAUAAGCCCCGGUUCUUCUUCACCGGCAGGCUGGUUCGUUGACACAGCACCGAGGCCGCCACAGCACCGAGGCCGCGACAGCACCGGGGGCCGACACACAGCACCGGGGGUGACACACAGCACCGGGCCGCCCGCUGGGCUCAUGCGACGCAUCAAGAAGAAGCCUGUGUGAUAUAGUUGACAGCUCAGGAAAAAAACAAGCCUUUAUUUCCACAG